UCUGCACUCGGCCUUUUGGGGAAGAUCAAGUGUAGUAUCUUUUCUUAUCAGUUUAAUAUCUGAUACGUGCUCUAUCCGUACAAAAUAUUCAGUGGAUUUUUGGAGCAGAAGACCUUCC
RNAcentral lists this small nuclear RNA (118 nucleotides) under Ornithorhynchus anatinus (platypus). RNAcentral's name for it is "U2 spliceosomal RNA (ENSOANG00000024979.2)". It matches the Rfam family "U2 spliceosomal RNA". From Rfam's summary of the family: U2 is a small nuclear RNA (snRNA) component of the spliceosome (involved in pre-mRNA splicing). Complementary binding between U2 snRNA (in an area lying towards the 5' end but 3' to hairpin I) and the branchpoint sequence (BPS) of the intron results the bulging out of an unpaired adenosine, on the BPS, which initiates a nucleophilic attack at the intronic 5' splice site, thus starting the first of two transesterification reactions that mediate splicing. Lineage: Eukaryota; Metazoa; Chordata; Mammalia; Monotremata; Ornithorhynchidae. The record is from Rfam by way of RNAcentral.